ACUGUGCUCUUUGCUGUGUCUUUCCGCCGUUUUAAAAAUGGGCACUUUUUGAAGAACCCGCAUCAAAGUAUUGUGGAGAAGCGUCGUGUUAAAUCUAAUUGAUGAACGGCUUUUUGUCAGGUAUGUAUCGCAGCUGCGAAGACGAACGUACGUUCUCCUGUUAGGUUACAGCUGGUAGGAAGUUCUGACGAGGACAGCUGAGUGAUGUUGUUGGUGAGCUUGGAUUAAAUCAUCUCUAAACAAAGAACUUGUCCUCGUGGUGACUGACUUGGGGAGUGGAGGUCAGUGAGCCCAUUGUCUCUGCUGGUCCGACUCCAACUACAAAGCCGGCCCGCUCGCCCCCUCCUGAGUCUGAGAGGAGAUCCAGAGAGAAAGAAGUGAAAGCAGGCCGAAACCUCAGCACAUGGAUGACAUCAAC
Long non-coding RNA from Haplochromis burtoni (Burton's mouthbrooder), 418 nucleotides. RefSeq lists it as uncharacterized. The record is from RefSeq and is a predicted model, not a curated record. The transcript is spliced from 3 exons. NCBI's taxonomy places the organism in Eukaryota, Metazoa, Chordata, Actinopteri, Cichliformes, Cichlidae.